GAUGAACGCUGACAGAAUGCUUAACACAUGCAAGUCGAUGGGGAAGUGGUGCUUGCACCAUGGUAACCAUGGCGGACGGGUGAGUAACGCGUAAGGAACUUGCCUGCGGGACUGGGAUAACAGCAGGAAACUGCUGAUAAUACCGGAUAAGGUCAUGAAGCUGCAUAGCUUAGUGAUGAAAGGAGACGCCUGCGGAGAGCCUUGCGUCCUAUUAGCUAGUUGGAGGGGUAACGGCCCACCAAGGCGAAGAUAGGUAGCCGGCCUGAGAGGGUGGACGGCCACAAGGGGACUGAGAUACGGCCCUU
This 305-nucleotide ribosomal RNA is filed under the name uncultured bacterium. RNAcentral describes it as "bacterial SSU rRNA". It matches the Rfam family "Bacterial small subunit ribosomal RNA", at positions 28 to 334 of the family's 1533-position model. The record is from RNAcentral.